RNAcentral lists this unclassified non-coding RNA (210 nucleotides) under Glomus sp. RNAcentral's name for it is "partial contains 5.8S ribosomal RNA and internal transcribed spacer 2". The stretch from base 1 to 65 matches the Rfam family "5.8S ribosomal RNA", at positions 84 to 154 of the family's 154-position model. Lineage: Eukaryota; Fungi; Glomeromycota; Glomeromycetes; Glomerales; Glomeraceae. The record is from RNAcentral.
GUGAAUCAUCGAAUUUUUGAACGCAAAUUGUACUCUCUUCGGAGAGUAUGCCUGUUUGAGGGUCAGCCUAAAAAAAAACCGACAUAGUUGCUUUUUCGCGGUUACAUUCGUCGGAAAUUGGGUCAUCUUUAACCUUUUGGUUUUAAGUGGCUUAAAAUUUUUUUUACGAUUCCCCGAACGUUUUUUAUUUUUUCUUCUUAUUCGUUUAAG